UGGGCAAGCCGGCUCAUCGUUCCUCUGUCAUUGGAUAGAGGGAAGGAAAGUCCGGGCAACACAGAGCACCGUACUUCCUAGCGGGAAGGUCCGGAUAUCGAUUUAUCGGUGGAUGGAACAGAUAGUGCCACAGAAAACAUACAGCCUAAGGAGCUUGCUCCCGGCAAUGGUGAAAAGGUGAGGUAAGAGCUCACCGUUCUCAUAGUGAUAUGAGGAGCAUGGUAAACCUUACGGGUUGAAAGACCAAAUAGAUCCUGUUUAGAGUUGCUCGCUCGUUUGGCAGGAUGGGUAGGUUGAUAAUGAUCCUGGCAGUGAUGUCCGGACCAGAUAAAUGAUGGGCAUCCGCCCUUGCUCCGCUGAAGCAUUGCGAUGCGAAGCAGCUGGCGGAUACAGAACCCGGCUUACAGGCUUGCGAUUUUU
Molecule: RNase P RNA, 420 nt
Filed under: Cyclobacteriaceae bacterium
Lineage: Bacteria; Pseudomonadati; Bacteroidota; Cytophagia; Cytophagales; Cyclobacteriaceae
Description: RNase P RNA component class A
Rfam family: Bacterial RNase P class A
About the family: Ribonuclease P (RNase P) is a ubiquitous endoribonuclease, found in archaea, bacteria and eukarya as well as chloroplasts and mitochondria. Its best characterised activity is the generation of mature 5'-ends of tRNAs by cleaving the 5'-leader elements of precursor-tRNAs.
Source: RNAcentral